GACGAACGCUGGCGGCGUGCUUAACACAUGCAAGUCGAGCGGUAAGGCCCUUUCGGGGUACGACGAGCGGCGAACGGGUGAGUAACACGUGGGUGACCUGCCCUCAGCUCUGGGAUAAGCCUGGGAAACCGGGUCUAAUACCGGAUAUGACUCCAUGACGCAUGUUGUGGGGUGGAAAGCCUUGUGCGGCUGAGGAUGGGCCCGCGGCCUAUCAGCUUGUUGGUGGGGUGGAUGGCCUACCAAGGCGACGACGGGUAGCCGGCCUGAGAGGGCGACCGGCCACACUGGGACUGAGACACGGCCCAGACUCCUACGGGAGGCAGCAGUGGGGAAGUCUUGCGCAAUGGGCGAAAGCCUGACGCAGCGACGCCGCGUGAGGGAUGACGGCCU
RNAcentral lists this ribosomal RNA (390 nucleotides) under uncultured bacterium. Its description in RNAcentral is "bacterial SSU rRNA". It matches the Rfam family "Bacterial small subunit ribosomal RNA", at positions 28 to 417 of the family's 1533-position model. The record is from RNAcentral.